Molecule: ribosomal RNA, 123 nt
Filed under: Periophthalmus magnuspinnatus
Lineage: Eukaryota; Metazoa; Chordata; Actinopteri; Gobiiformes; Gobiidae
Source: RNAcentral
CUGGGUGGUCAAACUUCCUUGUCAAAGCCUGAUCGUCAGACCUCGUCACAUCUCAGAAGCUAAGCAAAGCUGAGUUUGGUUAUACUUGGAUGGGAGACCACUGGGAAUAUCAGGUGCUACAGU